This 465-nucleotide ribosomal RNA is filed under the name uncultured bacterium. Its description in RNAcentral is "partial 16S ribosomal RNA". It matches the Rfam family "Bacterial small subunit ribosomal RNA", at positions 28 to 507 of the family's 1533-position model. The record is from RNAcentral.
GACGAACGCUGGCGGCGUGCUUAACACAUGCAAGUCGAACGGAAAGGCCCUGCUUGCAGGGUACUCGAGUGGCGAACGGGUGAGUAACACGUGGGUGAUCUGCCCUGCACUUCGGGAUAAGCCUGGGAAACUGGGUCUAAUACCGGAUAUGACCUUCCAUGUAGUGUGGGGGGUGGAAAGAUUUAUCGGUGUGGGAUGAGCCCGCGGCCUAUCAGCUUGUUGGUGGGGUAAUGGCCUACCAAGGCGUCGACGGGUAGCCGGCCUGAGAGGGUGGACGGCCACAUUGGGACUGAGAUACGGCCCAGACUCCUACGGGAGGCAGCAGUGGGGAAUAUUGCACAAUGGGCGGAAGCCUUAUGCAGCGACGCCGCGUGGGGGAUGACGGCCUUCGGGUUGUAAACCUCUUUCGACAGGGACGAAGCUUCGGUGACGGUACCUUUAUAAGAAGCACCGGCUAACUACGUG